AUAGCCCGGAUUGCAGUGGCAUCCUUUUUUGCUGAAAAUAUUCAGCAAAAAAGAUAAAACGUAAAGCCGGAAAA
This 74-nucleotide small RNA is filed under the name uncultured Flavobacterium sp. RNAcentral's name for it is "Flavo-1 RNA". It matches the Rfam family "Flavo-1 RNA". The record is from RNAcentral. Lineage: Bacteria; Pseudomonadati; Bacteroidota; Flavobacteriia; Flavobacteriales; Flavobacteriaceae.